GGGGGGGGGGUGGGUUUGGUGUGUGGUGUGGUGGGGUUGGGGGGGAAGGAGAGUUAUGAUUUAUCAAUAUGCAUCACUACAAACUGUCCCCACUCCAAAGAAUAAAUUUUGAGAAUUAUAAAUUUGAAACAUUUAAAUACAUGACGAUGGGAACAUUACAAAAUUGAAAACCUAUAUUCUCUGCAGAAAUCACACAACUGGAUGCAAUUACCGUGUUAAGAUUGAAGG
This 228-nucleotide unclassified non-coding RNA is filed under the name Hevea brasiliensis (rubber tree). Lineage: Eukaryota; Viridiplantae; Streptophyta; Magnoliopsida; Malpighiales; Euphorbiaceae. The record is from RNAcentral.